GUGAGAUGAUGACAGAGUUUAUCCAUUCUCUGAGUGCAGUGGUGCUGCCCUCCUGCAGCAUUCUGACUCCUGUUCUAGGGUCUGGGUGCUGUGCCUGUCUCUUAUACACAUCUAGAUGUGUAUAAGAGACAGGCGCUCCUGCAGCACCCCGAUUCCUGUUCUAGGGUCUGGGUGCUGUGCAGCCUCCAGAGACCCUCUGGUCUGCCAGUGUCCUACUGGGGGCUGUUGUGGUGUGUGGCUGGCUGCCUGCAGGAGUGAAGUGGUGCUGGCAUGGUUGGAGCCCCUCUCUGGGGGGCUCUGUCCUCUCUGAGAUGAAGGGUGAUGUCUGAUCAC
RNAcentral lists this small nucleolar RNA (333 nucleotides) under Amazona aestiva (blue-fronted amazon). RNAcentral's name for it is "Small nucleolar RNA SNORD17". It matches the Rfam family "Small nucleolar RNA SNORD17". From Rfam's summary of the family: The snoRNA HBI-43 belongs to the C/D family of snoRNAs, guiding 2'O-ribose methylation at position U3797 of the 28S rRNA. Pseudouridylation in position U3797 is predicted to be guided by the H/ACA snoRNA ACA48. Lineage: Eukaryota; Metazoa; Chordata; Aves; Psittaciformes; Psittacidae. The record is from Rfam by way of RNAcentral.